AGAAAAAUUAGUAGAGCAAGUCAGAUGGAAGAAUCUUCUUUGUUCCAAAUUCACGGGGCCUUGAUGGAUUCACACGGUCAUAGAUGAUAAGAGUUGAAAACCAUUUUGUUGGUCCACCAACCAUAACCAAUACAAUAGACAACACUAGAGUUACUAUAAUACCCUAACCUUUUACUCCUUUUGGCUGUAACUUCUAACACAAAACUUUAACACACCAUCUCUUUCUUAGCUUCCAUCAACUAAAACUGUGGUUGCAUUCUCUGGACCACAUCCAGCACGGAAAACUUCUAAUACAACCUCUUAAAAUUUCACUACAUAUUAUAUUUAGCAAUUUGCAGAUCAUCAAAAUCAAUGAAUCAAAAAUCAAGUGCAUUAAUACGAUGGAUGUAGUCAAUCCUCUCUUUCUUACUUCUCCUCUUGUCGCUCUCCCCAAUGUGACUAAUUUUUAGUUGGACCAGAUCCACCGGUGAGUUAGUGGAUCUUGAAAUGGUCAUUAUAUGAUCCAAUAGUAGUUCGUGCGAAGAAAGAUGAAUUAUUAUUUUGCACGAAAAAUAAUAGACAACUGGCUAUUUUUCUUCUUUCCUCUAUCAUAUCACCCAUUCUUGUUUCGACUUCUUCGUCCACAACCAAGCUUCACCAUCACCCUC
RNAcentral lists this long non-coding RNA (647 nucleotides) under Phoenix dactylifera (date palm). Its description in RNAcentral is "long non-coding RNA (PDAC_LNC005915)". The record is from RNAcentral. Lineage: Eukaryota; Viridiplantae; Streptophyta; Magnoliopsida; Arecales; Arecaceae.